RNAcentral lists this ribosomal RNA (468 nucleotides) under uncultured bacterium. RNAcentral describes it as "partial 16S ribosomal RNA". It matches the Rfam family "Bacterial small subunit ribosomal RNA", at positions 28 to 507 of the family's 1533-position model. The record is from RNAcentral.
GACGAACGCUGGCGGCGUGCUUAACACAUGCAAGUCGAACGGAAAGGCCCUGCUUUUGUGGGGUGCUCGAGUGGCGAACGGGUGAGUAACACGUGAGUAACCUGCCCUUGACUUUGGGAUAACUUCAGGAAACUGGGGCUAAUACCGGAUAGGAGCUCCUGCUGCAUGGGGGGGGUUGGAAAGUUUCGGCGGUUGGGGCUGGACUCGCGGCUUAUCAGCUUGUUGGUGGGGUAGUUGCUUACCAAGGCUUUGACGGGUAGCCGGCCUGGGAGGGUGAACGGCCACAUUGGGACUGAGAGACGGCCCAGACGCCUACGGGAGGCAGCAGUGGGGAAUAUUGCACAAUGGGCGGACGCCUGAUGCAGCAACGCCGGGUGCGGGAUGACGGCCUUCGGGUUGUAAACCGCUUUCGCCUGUGACGAAGCGUUAGUGACGGUAAUGGGUAAAGAAGCACCGGCUAACUACGUG